RNAcentral lists this ribosomal RNA (290 nucleotides) under uncultured bacterium. RNAcentral's name for it is "partial 16S ribosomal RNA". The record is from RNAcentral.
GGACUACCCGGGUAUCUAAUCCUGUUUGCUCCCCACGCUUUCGUGCCUCAGCGUCAGUAUCGGUCCAGAGAGCCGCCUUCGCCACCGGUGUUCUUCCCAAUAUCUACGAAUUUCACCUCUACACUGGAAUUCCACUCUCCUCUCCCGAACUCAAGCCAAAGAGUAUCAAGCGCAAUUCCCAGGUUGAGCCCGGGGAUUUCACGCCUGACUGCUUCGGCCGCCUACGCGCCCUUUACGCCCAGUAAUUCCGAACAACGCUAGCCCCCUUCGUAUUACCGCGGCUGCUGGAC